This 93-nucleotide microRNA precursor is filed under the name Tupaia belangeri (northern tree shrew). RNAcentral describes it as "miRNA (ENSTBEG00000020338.1)". Lineage: Eukaryota; Metazoa; Chordata; Mammalia; Scandentia; Tupaiidae. The record is from RNAcentral.
GCAGCCGGGCCCGGGCUGGGCUGGGCUGGGCAGUCUACUCCGGGCGCCGUCUGCACGGCCUGCCCUGACCGCACCCUUCCCGAGGCCAGCGCU